Molecule: ribosomal RNA, 254 nt
Filed under: uncultured bacterium
Lineage: Bacteria
Description: partial 16S ribosomal RNA
Rfam family: Bacterial small subunit ribosomal RNA
Source: RNAcentral
UACGUAGGGGGCGAGCGUUGUCCGGAUUCAUUGGGCGUAAAGAGCUCGUAGGCGGUUCGGUAAGUCGGGUGUGAAAUCUCCGUGCUCAACACGGAGCGGCCACCUGAUACUGCCGUGACUCGAGUCCGGUAGGGGAGUGUGGAAUUCCCGGUGUAGCGGUGAAAUGCGUAGAUAUCGUUUGGAACGCCAAUGGUGAAAACAACUUGCUGGGGGUGUGCUGACGCUGAGACACGAAAGCCAGGGGAGCAAACGGG